Molecule: ribosomal RNA, 408 nt
Filed under: Ophryotrocha nunezi
Lineage: Eukaryota; Metazoa; Annelida; Polychaeta; Eunicida; Dorvilleidae
Description: partial 16S ribosomal RNA
Rfam family: Bacterial large subunit ribosomal RNA (bases 93-408)
Source: RNAcentral
AAGGUAGCAUAAUCAAUCGUUUAUUAAUUAUAAUCUAGUAUAAAAGGAUACACAGAAAAUCCCUUUUUUAAUUUAUUAUCUAAAAUUUAAUUUAUGAUUGAAAAAUAUCAUAUAUUUCAAAAAGACCAAAAGACCCUGACGAGCUAAAGUUUCAUAAAUCAAUAUAAAUUUAUAAUUGGGGCGAUUAAAGAUAUAUUUCAUCUUUUAAGUAUACAAACUAUAAUUUUAUCUUAUAACCCCUCAAAUCAGUUACCGCAGGGAUAACAGGCUUUCUUAUUUUGAGAGUUCACAUCAACAAAUAUUUUUAGCACCUCGAUGUUGGCUUAAGGGAUCCUUUAAACGUAGCCGUUUAAGUUGAGAGGGUUUGUUCCACCCAUUAUUCCUUACGUGAUCUGAGUUCAGACCGGA